Molecule: long non-coding RNA, 538 nt
Organism: Salvia miltiorrhiza (redroot sage)
Lineage: Eukaryota; Viridiplantae; Streptophyta; Magnoliopsida; Lamiales; Lamiaceae
Exons: 4
Source: RefSeq, a predicted model, not a curated record
AACCCUUGUCCGCCACCCUAAUCGUGCAAUUCCCUCAGGUGACCUCGAUCAUCAUUCAUCCUCAAAUUGAAUAUCUCUAGCCCCACCGCCCUACCUUCCUCCCACCGUGCGGCAUCUCCUCUGCGUGAGUCCACAGCGCCGUCUACUCUGAAUUGCUGUAUCGACCGUCAAAGUUUGUUGCGCUGUCGAGCUCUGAAUCGCUCUCCACCGACGUGCGCCGUCGAGAUCGAGUCUCUCACCUGUAUUGUAGCUCCUAAAUUGAAUUACUAUCCACCGUCGCGCUAUCUCCGGUUGUUGAUUCCAACGAUGAUCCUAGCUAGCAGAUUUAGUUGAGAGUGAAUUCUUGGGAGAAUAGGUAAAAUAAAUUACUCAAGAUGACAGAUGACAAGAUGAAUAGAGGAGAUGGUGCUCUAAGAGGAGAUAGCCUUUGAGUCUUCUAGCAGCACUGGCCACGUCACAAUGAGGUUUUGGAAUUAGCAUCGAACUUUCUUCCUUUGAGCAUGCAUGGAUUCUUGAUUUACAGCGAUUGUGAUGCGUG